RNAcentral lists this long non-coding RNA (227 nucleotides) under Carica papaya (papaya). RNAcentral describes it as "long non-coding RNA (CPAP_LNC007673)". The record is from RNAcentral. Lineage: Eukaryota; Viridiplantae; Streptophyta; Magnoliopsida; Brassicales; Caricaceae.
UAUCUUACUGCUUGAUGAGGUUAAAUUACACAUGGGAGAGCAAUAACAACAAUCCUUCCCUCCCUCACAGUUCAUAAGUUCAGAGUGCACUUGUUGAAUUGGGCUUCGAAUUGCAAAUCAAAAUUUCAAUUUUGUUAUUUGAGAAUUACAAUUUGAAUUUAGUAUUAAUUAGAAUUUACGGCUACUUGUACUAAAUUUAAAAGAAAUUAUCAAGAACAAAAUAUUUU